CCGCCCGUCACAUCAUGAAAGCCGUUUGUACCCGAAGUCGCCGUGCCAACUGCAAAGAAGCAGGCGCCGAAGGUAUGGAUGGUGAUUGGGAUG
This 93-nucleotide ribosomal RNA is filed under the name uncultured bacterium. Its description in RNAcentral is "partial 16S ribosomal RNA". It matches the Rfam family "Bacterial small subunit ribosomal RNA", at positions 1390 to 1482 of the family's 1533-position model. The record is from RNAcentral.